AUGGACUCAUUGCCGCUGUGGCUUGCCUUUGCAGUGGCCCGCCCCGUUGCUCCCCAUCUGUUGCAGCCUCCACUAUGUCUCGAGCUGGCUGCCAUGCCGAAUAACGAGCUCUUUGUGUCAGAGUUGCAAAAUACACUGGAUAAAAACCAAUACGGUUGGAUGAGGCAGGAAGUAAAACUUAGCUCUGUGAUGGGUGAAGCUAAAUCUCUGAAGUAA
RNAcentral lists this ribosomal RNA (216 nucleotides) under Triticum aestivum (bread wheat). Its description in RNAcentral is "partial small subunit ribosomal RNA". Lineage: Eukaryota; Viridiplantae; Streptophyta; Magnoliopsida; Poales; Poaceae. The record is from RNAcentral.